RNAcentral lists this ribosomal RNA (253 nucleotides) under uncultured bacterium. RNAcentral's name for it is "partial 16S ribosomal RNA". It matches the Rfam family "Bacterial small subunit ribosomal RNA", at positions 524 to 776 of the family's 1533-position model. The record is from RNAcentral.
UACGUAGGUGGCAAGCGUUGUCCGGAUUUACUGGGCGUAAAGGGCGUGCAGGCGGUUUGUUAAGUUCAGGGUGAAAGCUCCCGGCUCAACUGGGAGAGGUCCUUGGAUACUGGCAGACUUGAGGAGGGUAGAGGAGAGUGGAAUUCCCGGUGUAGUGGUGAUAUGCGUAGAUAUCGGGAGGAACACCGGUGGCGAAGGCGGCGACCUGGGUAGAUACUGACGCUGAGGCGCGAAAGCGUGGGGAGCAAACAGG